GAUGAACGCUGGCGGCGUGCCUAAUACAUGCAAGUCGAGCGAACAGACGAGGAGCUUGCUCCUCUGACGUUAGCGGCGGACGGGUGAGUAACACGUGGAUAACCUACCUAUAAGACUGGGAUAACUUCGGGAAACCGUAGCUAAUACCGGAUAAUAUAUUGAACCGCAUGGUUCAAUAGUGAAAGACGGUUUUGCUGUCACUUAUAGAUGGAUCCGCGCCGCAUUAGCUAGUUGGUAAGGUAACGGCUUACCAAGGCGACGAUGCGUAGCCGACCUGAGAGAGGGAGCUGAGACACUGGAACGUGAAAACGAUCCAGACUCCUACGAGAGGCAGCAGUAGGGAAUCGUCCGCAAUGGGCGAAAGCCUGACGGAGCAACGCAGCGAGAGUGAUGAAGGUAUUCGGAGCGUAAAACACUGUUAAUAGAGAAGAACAAAUGUGUAAGUAACUAUGCACGUCUUGAAGGUACCUAAUCAGAAAGCAACGGCUAAAUACGUG
RNAcentral lists this ribosomal RNA (497 nucleotides) under uncultured bacterium. RNAcentral's name for it is "partial 16S ribosomal RNA". It matches the Rfam family "Bacterial small subunit ribosomal RNA", at positions 28 to 507 of the family's 1533-position model. The record is from RNAcentral.